GACAGAGGUGCCGAGCGUUAUGCGGAAUCACUGGGCUUAAAGCGUGCGUAGGCGGAUCCGUAAGUCCCUUGUGAAAUUCCACGGCUCAACUGUGGGCUUGCGGGCGAUACGGGCAGGCUGGAGUUCGGUAGGGGAGACUGGAAUUCCUGGUGUAGCGGUGAAAUGCGCAGAUAUCAGGAGGAACACCGGUGGCGAAGGCGGGUCUCUGGGCCGAUACUGACGCUGAGGAGCGAAAGCGUGGGGAGCGAACAGG
This 253-nucleotide ribosomal RNA is filed under the name uncultured bacterium. RNAcentral's name for it is "partial 16S ribosomal RNA". It matches the Rfam family "Bacterial small subunit ribosomal RNA", at positions 524 to 776 of the family's 1533-position model. The record is from RNAcentral.